Molecule: ribosomal RNA, 253 nt
Filed under: uncultured bacterium
Lineage: Bacteria
Description: partial 16S ribosomal RNA
Rfam family: Bacterial small subunit ribosomal RNA
Source: RNAcentral
UACGUAGGGUGCAAGCGUUGUCCGGAAUUAUUGGGCGUAAAGAGCGCGUAGGCGGCCCGUUAAGUCGGAUGUGAAAACCCGUGGCUCAACCACGGGCCUGCAUCCGAUACUGGCGGGCUCGAGGCAGGCAGGGGAGAUCGGAAUUCCUGGUGUAGCGGUGAAAUGCGCAGAUAUCGGGAGGAACACCGGUGGCGAAGGCGGUUCUCUGGGCCUGUACUGACGCUGAGGAGCGAAAGCGUGGGGAGCGAACAGG